RNAcentral lists this ribosomal RNA (2423 nucleotides) under Bacillus cereus HuA3-9. RNAcentral describes it as "bacterial LSU rRNA". It matches the Rfam family "Bacterial large subunit ribosomal RNA", at positions 493 to 2925 of the family's 2925-position model. The record is from RNAcentral. Lineage: Bacteria; Bacillati; Bacillota; Bacilli; Caryophanales; Bacillaceae.
AACCAGUACCGUGAGGGAAAGGUGAAAAGCACCCCGGAAGGGGAGUGAAAGAGAUCCUGAAACCGUGUGCCUACAAAUAGUCAGAGCCCGUUAAUGGGUGAUGGCGUGCCUUUUGUAGAAUGAACCGGCGAGUUACGAUCCCGUGCAAGGUUAAGCUGAAGAGGCGGAGCCGCAGCGAAAGCGAGUCUGAAUAGGGCGUUUAGUACGUGGUCGUAGACCCGAAACCAGGUGAUCUACCCAUGUCCAGGGUGAAGUUCAGGUAACACUGAAUGGAGGCCCGAACCCACGCACGUUGAAAAGUGCGGGGAUGAGGUGUGGGUAGCGGAGAAAUUCCAAUCGAACCUGGAGAUAGCUGGUUCUCCCCGAAAUAGCUUUAGGGCUAGCCUUAAGUGUAAGAGUCUUGGAGGUAGAGCACUGAUUGAACUAGGGGUCCUCAUCGGAUUACCGAAUUCAGUCAAACUCCGAAUGCCAAUGACUUAUCCUUAGGAGUCAGACUGCGAGUGAUAAGAUCCGUAGUCAAGAGGGAAACAGCCCAGAUCGCCAGCUAAGGUCCCAAAGUGUGUAUUAAGUGGAAAAGGAUGUGGAGUUGCUUAGACAACUAGGAUGUUGGCUCAGAAGCAGCCACCAUUUAAAGAGUGCGUAAUAGCUCACUAGUCGAGUGACUCUGCGCCGAAAAUGUACCGGGGCUAAAUACACCACCGAAGCUGCGAAUUGAUACCAAUGGUAUCAGUGGUAGGGGAGCGUUCUAAGUGCAGUGAAGUCAGACCGGAAGGACUGGUGGAGCGCUUAGAAGUGAGAAUGCCGGUAUGAGUAGCGAAAGACGGGUGAGAAUCCCGUCCACCGAAUGCCUAAGGUUUCCUGAGGAAGGCUCGUCCGCUCAGGGUUAGUCAGGACCUAAGCCGAGGCCGACAGGCGUAGGCGAUGGACAACAGGUUGAUAUUCCUGUACCACCUCUUUAUCGUUUGAGCAAUGGAGGGACGCAGAAGGAUAGAAGAAGCGUGCGAUUGGUUGUGCACGUCCAAGCAAUUAGGCUGAUAAGUAGGCAAAUCCGCUUAUCGUGAAGGCUGAGCUGUGAUGGGGAAGCUCCUUAUGGAGCGAAGUCUUUGAUUCCCCGCUGCCAAGAAAAGCUUCUAGCGAGAUAAAAGGUGCCUGUACCGCAAACCGACACAGGUAGGCGAGGAGAGAAUCCUAAGGUGUGCGAGAGAACUCUGGUUAAGGAACUCGGCAAAAUGACCCCGUAACUUCGGGAGAAGGGGUGCUUUCUUAACGGAAAGCCGCAGUGAAUAGGCCCAAGCGACUGUUUAGCAAAAACACAGGUCUCUGCGAAGCCGUAAGGCGAAGUAUAGGGGCUGACACCUGCCCGGUGCUGGAAGGUUAAGGAGAGGGGUUAGCGUAAGCGAAGCUCUGAACUGAAGCCCCAGUAAACGGCGGCCGUAACUAUAACGGUCCUAAGGUAGCGAAAUUCCUUGUCGGGUAAGUUCCGACCCGCACGAAAGGUGUAACGAUUUGGGCACUGUCUCAACCAGAGACUCGGUGAAAUUAUAGUACCUGUGAAGAUGCAGGUUACCCGCGACAGGACGGAAAGACCCCGUGGAGCUUUACUGUAGCCUGAUAUUGAAUUUUGGUACAGUUUGUACAGGAUAGGCGGGAGCCAUUGAAACCGGAGCGCUAGCUUCGGUGGAGGCGCUGGUGGGAUACCGCCCUGACUGUAUUGAAAUUCUAACCUACGGGUCUUAUCGACCCGGGAGACAGUGUCAGGUGGGCAGUUUGACUGGGGCGGUCGCCUCCUAAAGUGUAACGGAGGCGCCCAAAGGUUCCCUCAGAAUGGUUGGAAAUCAUUCGUAGAGUGCAAAGGCAUAAGGGAGCUUGACUGCGAGACCUACAAGUCGAGCAGGGACGAAAGUCGGGCUUAGUGAUCCGGUGGUUCCGCAUGGAAGGGCCAUCGCUCAACGGAUAAAAGCUACCCCGGGGAUAACAGGCUUAUCUCCCCCAAGAGUCCACAUCGACGGGGAGGUUUGGCACCUCGAUGUCGGCUCAUCGCAUCCUGGGGCUGUAGUCGGUCCCAAGGGUUGGGCUGUUCGCCCAUUAAAGCGGUACGCGAGCUGGGUUCAGAACGUCGUGAGACAGUUCGGUCCCUAUCCGUCGUGGGCGCAGGAAAUUUGAGAGGAGCUGUCCUUAGUACGAGAGGACCGGGAUGGACGCACCGCUGGUGUACCAGUUGUUCUGCCAAGGGCAUAGCUGGGUAGCUAUGUGCGGAAGGGAUAAGUGCUGAAAGCAUCUAAGCAUGAAGCCCCCCUCAAGAUGAGAUUUCCCAUAGCGUAAGCUAGUAAGAUCCCUGAAAGAUGAUCAGGUUGAUAGGUUCGAGGUGGAAGCAUGGUGACAUGUGGAGCUGACGAAUACUAAUAGAUCGAGGACUUAACCAU